RNAcentral lists this long non-coding RNA (216 nucleotides) under Carica papaya (papaya). RNAcentral describes it as "long non-coding RNA (CPAP_LNC003785)". Lineage: Eukaryota; Viridiplantae; Streptophyta; Magnoliopsida; Brassicales; Caricaceae. The record is from RNAcentral.
AAUAGAAAAAGUCAAAUAAAUUAUGAAAUGCUCAGAUUUUCGUGUCAUGCUUUGCGAAGUCAUUAUAACUUCCAUCUUGAAAGGUAGAUACGAAUUUUCACCUAUCCAAGUGGAAUGAACAGAUCAGAUACAGAUACGAAAUUUGCUUAAGCACAUUUUUGGUUAGCCAAAUCAUGGUACGAUCUACGACUACGAUCGUAUCAACCAUACUGGCCU